AGCAGCCGCGGUAAUUCCAGCUCCAAUAGCGUAUAUUAAAGUUGUUGCGGUUAAAAAGCUCGUAGUUGAACUUCGGGGUUCACCCAUUGGUCAGGCUUAAUUGUCUGCACUGGUGAGAUGAGUCUCUACCUUCUGAGGAACUUUCAUGCCAUUUAUUUGGUGUGGUUGGAAAUCAGGACUGUUACUUUGAAAAAAUUAGAGUGUUUAAAGCAGGCUAACGUCUGAAUACAUUAGCAUGGAAUAAUGAAAUAGGACGGACUGAUUCUAUUUCGUUGGUUUCUAGGAUCACCGUAAUGAUUAAUAGGGAUAGUUGGGGGCAUUAGUAUUCAAUUGUCAGAAGUGAAAUUCUUGGAUUUAUUGAAGACUAACUACUGCGAAAGCAUUUGCCAAGGAUGUUUUCAUUAAUUCAAGAACGAAAGUUAGGGGAUCGAAGACGAUCAGAUACCGUCGUAGUCUUAACACUAAACUAUGCCGACUAGGGAUCGGACGAAGUUAAUUUAUAAUGACGUCGUUCGCACGU
Molecule: ribosomal RNA, 520 nt
Filed under: uncultured Diversispora
Lineage: Eukaryota; Fungi; Glomeromycota; Glomeromycetes; Diversisporales; Diversisporaceae
Description: SSU rRNA
Rfam family: Eukaryotic small subunit ribosomal RNA
Source: RNAcentral